This 391-nucleotide ribosomal RNA is filed under the name uncultured bacterium. Its description in RNAcentral is "bacterial SSU rRNA". It matches the Rfam family "Bacterial small subunit ribosomal RNA", at positions 28 to 420 of the family's 1533-position model. The record is from RNAcentral.
GACGAACGCUGGCGGCGUGCUUAACACAUGCAAGUCGAGCGGUAAGGCCCUUUCGGGGGUACACGAGCGGCGAACGGGUGAGUAACACGUGAGUGACCUGCCCUCAGCUCUGGGAUAAGCCUGGGAAACCGGGUCUAAUACCGGAUAUGACUCCAUGACGCAUGUUGUGGGGUGGAAAGCCUUGUGCGGCUGAGGAUGGGCCCGCGGCCUAUCAGCUUGUUGGUGGGGUGANGGCCUACCAAGGCGACGACGGGUAGCCGGCCUGAGAGGGCGACCGGCCACACUGGGACUGAGACACGGCCCAGACUCCUACGGGAGGCAGCAGUGGGGAAUCUUGCGCAAUGGGCGAAAGCCUGACGCAGCGACGCCGCGUGAGGGAUGACGGCCUCGG